ACUAAUCAAAUCCUUCAACAAAUUGGUACCAAAUAUUACUUUUACAUCACUUGUAAAGUAUUUUAAAAAAACAUGCAAUGCACAUUCAACUUUGACUGCUUUUAUAAAUGUGCAAAGUUGAAUAAUUUGAAUCUUUACAUGUUACGAUAUCACGUCGAACUAUUUUAUCUAAAAACAUAAACUGAUAUAGAGAGUGCACAUUUUUAUUUAUUGCAUCUCCUUUUCAAUUUUCUAUUACAACUCUUGACACUUUUUACAAUUAUUUUGUCUUAAAACACCUCCUAUAGGUAAUGUUUAGCAUAUGCUUGGGUUAGUUAAAAAUCAGAUCUUUAGUAGAUUUUGAUAAAAAUUAAUAAAAUGUAUAGAUGAAAAGUUGUGGGUCUAAUAAAAUAUAUGACUGAAAAUGAGUUUGAACAAAAAUGAGGACUAAACAUGGGAAUAUUUAUUUUUAUGAGAACAUAUGACAGUUUACAAUUUCUAGAAAGAGGUGACAAUGAAAUGAUAUUCAAUCUAAAAGCUUAAAUAUUGAGGAGUACAAAUUUACUUAUUGAAGUUUUGUCAAUGACAGGUAGGGACACCACAAGUACUACUCUAACAUGGUUUUUCUGGCUAAUUGCCUCAAAUCCCCUUGUGGAACUCAAGAUACUUGAAGAGAUUCAAACAAACUUUCAUGACACAGAAGACAAAACAUGCAGGUUUUUUAAUGCAGAAAAAUCUAGAAAAUUAGUCUACCUCCACGGAGCAUUCUGCGAGACUCUUAGGCUGUUCCCUCCNNNNNN
RNAcentral lists this long non-coding RNA (779 nucleotides) under Olea europaea (common olive). RNAcentral's name for it is "long non-coding RNA (OEUR_LNC007534)". Lineage: Eukaryota; Viridiplantae; Streptophyta; Magnoliopsida; Lamiales; Oleaceae. The record is from RNAcentral.